AGUGAACGCUGGCGGCGUGCCUAAUACAUGCAAGUCGAACGGACAAGUAAGAGCUUGCUCUUAUGAGUUAGUGGCGCACGGGUGAGUAAUGUAUAGCUAAUCUGCCCUACACUAGAGGACAACAGUUGGAAACGACUGCUAAUACUCUAUACUCCUGUCUUACAUAAGUUAGAUAGGGAAAGUUUUUCGGUGUAGGAUGAGGCUAUAUUGUAUCAGCUAGUUGGUGAGGUAAUGGCUCACCAAGGCUAUGACGCAUAACUGGUCUGAGAGGAUGAUCAGUCACACUGGAACUGAGACACGGUCCAGACUCCUACGGGAGGCAGCAGUAGGGAAUAUUGCUCAAUGGGGGAAACCCUGAAGCAGCAACGCCGCGUGGAGGAUGACACUUUUCGGAGCGUAAACUCCUUUUGUUAGGGAAGAACAAUGACGGUACCUAACGAAUAAGCACCGGCUAACUCCGUGCCAGCAGCCGCGGUAAUACGGAGGGUGCAAGCGUUACUCGGAAUCACUGGGCGUAAAGGACGCGUAGGCGGAUUAUCAAGUCUCUUGUGAAAUCCUAUGGCUUAACCAUAGAACUGCUUGGGAAACUGAUAAUCUAGAGUGAGGGAGAGGCAGAUGGAAUUGGUGGUGUAGGGGUAAAAUCCGUAGAGAUCACCAGGAAUACCCAUUGCGAAGGCGAUCUGCUGGAACUCAACUGACGCUAAUGCGUGAAAGCGUGGGGAGCAAACAGG
RNAcentral lists this ribosomal RNA (731 nucleotides) under uncultured Campylobacter sp. Its description in RNAcentral is "bacterial SSU rRNA". It matches the Rfam family "Bacterial small subunit ribosomal RNA", at positions 28 to 776 of the family's 1533-position model. The record is from RNAcentral. Lineage: Bacteria; Pseudomonadati; Campylobacterota; Epsilonproteobacteria; Campylobacterales; Campylobacteraceae.